RNAcentral lists this ribosomal RNA (395 nucleotides) under Cryptosporidium environmental sequence. Its description in RNAcentral is "SSU rRNA". It matches the Rfam family "Eukaryotic small subunit ribosomal RNA", at positions 665 to 1064 of the family's 1831-position model. The record is from RNAcentral. Lineage: Eukaryota; Apicomplexa; Conoidasida; Eucoccidiorida; Cryptosporidiidae.
UGUUAAUAAUUUAUAUAAAAUAUUUUGAUGAAUAUUUAUAUAAUAUUAACAUAAUUCAUAUUACUAUAUAUUUUAGUAUAUGAAAUUUUACUUUGAGAAAAUUAGAGUGCUUAAAGCAGGCAUAUGCCUUGAAUACUCCAGCAUGGAAUAAUAUUAAAGAUUUUUAUCUUUCUUAUUGGUUCUAAGAUAAGAAUAAUGAUUAAUAGGGACAGUUGGGGGCAUUUGUAUUUAACAGUCAGAGGUGAAAUUCUUAGAUUUGUUAAAGACAAACUAAUGCGAAAGCAUUUGCCAAGGAUGUUUUCAUUAAUCAAGAACGAAAGUUAGGGGAUCGAAGACGAUCAGAUACCGUCGUAGUCUUAACCAUAAACUAUGCCAACUAGAGAUUGGAGGUUGUU